This 518-nucleotide ribosomal RNA is filed under the name uncultured bacterium. RNAcentral's name for it is "partial 16S ribosomal RNA". It matches the Rfam family "Bacterial small subunit ribosomal RNA", at positions 28 to 523 of the family's 1533-position model. The record is from RNAcentral.
GACGAACGCUGGCGGCGUGCUUAACACAUGCAAGUCGAACGGAGGAUUUAUUUCGGUAAAUCCUUAGUGGCGAACGGGUGAGUAACGCGUGGGCAAUCUGCCCUUCAGAUGGGGACAACAUCCCGAAAGGGGUGCUAAUACCGAAUACGAUCGUUUUCCCGCGUGGGAUUACGAUGAAAGAUGGCCUCUAUUUAUAAGCUAUCGCUGAAGUAUGAGCCGGCGUCUGAUUAGCUAGUUGGUGGGGUAACGGCCUGCCAAGGCGAUGAUCAGUAGCCGGUCUGAGAGGAUGAACGGCCACAUUGGGACUGAGACACGGCCCAAACUCCUACGGGAGGCAGCAGUGGGGAAUAUUCCGCAAUGGACGAAAGUCUGACGGAGCAACGCCGCGUGAGUGAUGAAGGUUUUCGGACUGUAAAGCUCUGUUGUUUAGGACGAAAGUGCCUGUUGCAAAUAGUUACAGGUAUUGACGGUACUGAACAAGGAAGCCACGGCUAACUACGUGCCAGCCGCCGCCGUAA